UACGUAGGGUGCAAGCGUUGUCCGGAAUUAUUGGGCGUAAAGAGCUCGUAGGCGGUUUGUCGCGUCUGCUGUGAAAACUGGAGGCUCAACCUCCAGCCUGCAGUGGGUACGGGCAGACUAGAGUGCGGUAGGGGAGAUUGGAAUUCCCGGUGUAGUGGUGGAAUGCGUAGAUAUCGGGAGGAACACCAGUGGCGAAGGCGGCUCUCUGGACCUCUGCUGACGCUGAGGCGCGAAAAGCGUGGGGAGCGAUCCGG
RNAcentral lists this ribosomal RNA (254 nucleotides) under uncultured bacterium. RNAcentral describes it as "partial 16S ribosomal RNA". It matches the Rfam family "Bacterial small subunit ribosomal RNA", at positions 524 to 776 of the family's 1533-position model. The record is from RNAcentral.